UGUUAAUACGUAACUAUUUACCAUUUACUUGUGCUAAAUGCACGUGUGUCACAAAACAGUACAGAAUGUGUCCCGAUUACAAAUCCAUCACGACAUUUGCAGGUGUUACUCCAAUAGCAUCGAAAGGGCAAACACAUGAGUAUUGUUUCACGUGCUGCCAGCACUAUCCCAAGCAGAAAGGAGAAUGGGGUAUUAUAUGGAGCAUCUUGCCUGCGUACGUGGAAGCCAUAGGCUUUCACUGUCAGUGGCUAUGCGUUUGCACAUAUUUUUAGUAGAGUGAUGUAAACCUUCAUUUAAAAAGCCAGUUGAUGGAGUACUAUUGGAUUUUAUUGAGACUAUAAUGAUGAAAAAAGCCAUUCUGUCUCAGUGCCAUCCCUGGGGUUAUGCAGCACACCUCUCUUCCAAUAAUUGCAUAUGGCAAUAACAAGCCAGUGGCUCCAUAGGAUAAUUGGCUCCUCCUUACUGCGUUUGUGGCUAGUCAAUCUGAGAAUUACUGAGAUCGAACAAAAGCCAUGGUGGCUACAAGACUGAGGCCCAUAUUGAUCUAGAAAGAAUGGGAUGCAUCUGUCAGGCCAGGAAGAAUACAUCAUGUUCCUGGUGAGAAAAUUCUUUUCGAAGAAAAGGGAAAUAAUUAUUCACUCCAGUGGAACACUUGAAGCAACAGCACACACACUCACAAAAGGCUCUAAUAGAACCCUUAUAGGUGGAAAAGAAAGAGCAUUUUUCUUCAUUCUUUGCUUUUCUGCUGAUAAUUCCUACUUGAGAAAACAUUAUGAGAAACUGAAUCUCAAAGAAGACAAGCAACUUCCUGAUAAUGAGCACAUGACUCAGUGCACUUGCCAAGAAAGGUUCAAAGCAGCCCUCCUUCCAAGGGGAAGCCUUGUCUGAAUCAAAGGAAAAGAAAGGUGUUUUAAGUCCAUGCCAUGACGUCCUUGAAAAUCAUCUUUGAGCAUAACCUUAGCAUAUCCAAUUCCAGGAAACAUCUCAUCUCCAAUGUAGUCCGUUUCCUCUCCAGACUAGUCCUGAAGAAUAGGAGGUCUCCAGUAUUGAAAGCAACUCUGGCUCCUGCUCCUAAUUUCUCAAGCCAUUCCAGGCUGGCUCAUGUUCUCAUCAUCUCUCCGCGCUGACCACCUAUGACUCUCAUGACAAUAAAUGCACUGGGUCCUUGCCA
Molecule: long non-coding RNA, 1171 nt
Filed under: Oryctolagus cuniculus (rabbit)
Lineage: Eukaryota; Metazoa; Chordata; Mammalia; Lagomorpha; Leporidae
Description: lncRNA (ENSOCUG00000035569.1)
Source: RNAcentral